AAAUUGAAGAGUUUGAUCAUGGCUCAGAUUGAACGCUGGCGGCAGGCCUAACACAUGCAAGUCGAACGGUAACAGAAAGCAGCUUGCUGCUUUGCUGACGAGUGGCGGACGGGUGAGUAAUGUCUGGGAAACUGCCCGAUGGAGGGGGAUAACUACUGGAAACGGUAGCUAAUACCGCAUAACGUCGCAAGACCAAAGAGGGGGACCUUCGGGCCUCUUGCCAUCGGAUGUGCCCAGAUGGGAUUAGCUAGUAGGUGGGGUAACGGCUCACCUAGGCGACGAUCCCUAGCUGGUCUGAGAGGAUGACCAGCCACACUGGAACUGAGACACGGUCCAGACUCCUACGGGAGGCAGCAGUGGGGAAUAUUGCACAAUGGGCGCAAGCCUGAUGCAGCCAUGCCGCGUGUAUGAAGAAGGCCUUCGGGUUGUAAAGUACUUUCAGCGGGGAGGAAGGGAGUAAAGUUAAUACCUUUGCUCAUUGACGUUACCCGCAGAAGAAGCACCGGCUAACUCCGUGCCAGCAGCCGCGGUAAUACGGAGGGUGCAAGCGUUAAUCGGAAUUACUGGGCGUAAAGCGCACGCAGGCGGUUUGUUAAGUCAGAUGUGAAAUCCCCGGGCUCAACCUGGGAACUGCAUCUGAUACUGGCAAGCUUGAGUCUCGUAGAGGGGGGUAGAAUUCCAGGUGUAGCGGUGAAAUGCGUAGAGAUCUGGAGGAAUACCGGUGGCGAAGGCGGCCCCCUGGACGAAGACUGACGCUCAGGUGCGAAAGCGUGGGGAGCAAACAGGAUUAGAUACCCUGGUAGUCCACGCCGUAAACGAUGUCGACUUGGAGGUUGUGCCCUUGAGGCGUGGCUUCCGGAGCUAACGCGUUAAGUCGACCGCCUGGGGAGUACGGCCGCAAGGUUAAAACUCAAAUGAAUUGACGGGGGCCCGCACAAGCGGUGGAGCAUGUGGUUUAAUUCGAUGCAACGCGAAGAACCUUACCUGGUCUUGACAUCCACGGAAGUUUUCAGAGAUGAGAAUGUGCCUUCGGGAACCGUGAGACAGGUGCUGCAUGGCUGUCGUCAGCUCGUGUUGUGAAAUGUUGGGUUAAGUCCCGCAACGAGCGCAACCCUUAUCCUUUGUUGCCAGCGGUCCGGCCGGGAACUCAAAGGAGACUGCCAGUGAUAAACUGGAGGAAGGUGGGGAUGACGUCAAGUCAUCAUGGCCCUUACGACCAGGGCUACACACGUGCUACAAUGGCGCAUACAAAGAGAAGCGACCUCGCGAGAGCAAGCGGACCUCAUAAAGUGCGUCGUAGUCCGGAUUGGAGUCUGCAACUCGACUCCAUGAAGUCGGAAUCGCUAGUAAUCGUGGAUCAGAAUGCCACGGUGAAUACGUUCCCGGGCCUUGUACACACCGCCCGUCACACCAUGGGAGUGGGUUGCAAAAGAAGUAGGUAGCUUAACCUUCGGGAGGGCGCUUACCACUUUGUGAUUCAUGACUGGGGUGAAGUCGUAACAAGGUAACCGUAGGGGAACCUGCGGUUGGAUCACCUCCUUACCUUAAAGAAGC
Molecule: ribosomal RNA, 1554 nt
Filed under: Escherichia coli
Lineage: Bacteria; Pseudomonadati; Pseudomonadota; Gammaproteobacteria; Enterobacterales; Enterobacteriaceae
Also listed under: 2 other names
Description: bacterial SSU rRNA
Rfam family: Bacterial small subunit ribosomal RNA
Source: RNAcentral